Molecule: ribosomal RNA, 1288 nt
Filed under: metagenome
Description: bacterial LSU rRNA
Rfam family: Bacterial large subunit ribosomal RNA
Source: RNAcentral
UUUAGAAUCAGACCGCCCGUACCGCAAACCGACACAGGUAGUCGGGUCGGGAAGACCAAGGUGAGCGAGAGAACUCUCGUUAAGGAACUCGGCAAAAUGACCCCGUAACUUCGGGAGAAGGGGUGCUGAUCGCAAGGUCAGCCGCAGUGAAUAGGCCCAGGCGACUGUUUAUCAAAAACACAGGUUUCUGCAAAAUCGUAAGAUGAAGUAUAGGGGCUGACGCCUGCCCGGUGCUGGAAGGUUAAGAGGAUGGGUUAGCGUAAGCGAAGCUCAGAAUUGAAGCCCCAGUAAACGGCGGCCGUAACAAUAACGGUCCUAAGGUAGCGAAAUUCCUUGUCGGGUAAGUUCCGACCCGCACGAAAGGCGUAACGAUCUGGGCACUGUCUCAACGAGAGACUCGGUGAAAUUAUAAUACCCGUGGAGAUGCGGGUUACCCGCGACAGGACGGAAAGACCCCAUGGAGCUUUACUGUAGCUUGAUAUUGGGUGUUUGUACAACUUGUACAGGAUAGGUAGGAGCCGUAGAAGUCGGGACGCUAGUUUCGACGGAGGCAUCGGUGGGAUACUACCCUCGUUGUAUGAACACUCUAACCCACGCCGGCAAUCACGGCGGGAGACAGUGUCAGGUGGGCAGUUUGACUGGGGCGGUCGCCUCCUAAAAGGUAACGGAGGCGCCCAAAGGUUCCCUCAGAAUGGUUGGGAAUCAUUCGCAGAGUGUAAAGGCAUAAGGGAGCUUGACUGCGAGACCUACAAGUCGAGCAGGGACGAAAGUCGGGCUUAGUGAUCCGGUGGUUCCGCAUGGAAGGGCCAUCGCUCAACGGAUAAAAGCUACCCUGGGGAUAACAGGCUUAUCUCCCCCAAGAGUCCACAUCGACGGGGAGGUUUGGCACCUCGAUGUCGGCUCAUCGCAUCCUGGGGCUGUAGUCGGUCCCAAGGGUUGGGCUGUUCGCCCAUUAAAGCGGUACGCGAGCUGGGUUCAGAACGUCGUGAGACAGUUCGGUCCCUAUCCGUCGCGGGCGCAGGAAAUUUGAGAGGAUCUGUCCUUAGUACGAGAGGACCGGGAUGGACAUACCGCUGGUGUACCAGUUGUUCUGCCAAGGGCACCGCUGGGUAGCUAUGUAUGGAUGAGAUAAACGCUGAAAGCAUCUAAGUGCGAAACUCACCUCGAGAUAAGAUUUCCCACUCCUUUAUGGAGUUAAGACCCCUGAGAGAUGAUCAGGUAGAUAGGAUGGAAGUGGAAGUGCGGCGACGCAUGGAGCGGACCAUUACUAAUCGGUCGAGGACUUAAC